Molecule: long non-coding RNA, 1444 nt
Filed under: Mus caroli (Ryukyu mouse)
Lineage: Eukaryota; Metazoa; Chordata; Mammalia; Rodentia; Muridae
Description: lncRNA (MGP_CAROLIEiJ_G0004908.1)
Source: RNAcentral
GACAACUCAUCCUGGUAACAUGUCCUGUAGACACCCAGAGGGACCCCAGUUCUACUCAGCCAGCAGGACGCUAACCCUAACACCUGGGACCCUCCAGUGCCCAGGGCCAGGGCCUCAAGAAUUUUACCCACGAAAGUCUUAUCUGGGAUCUACAUGUAAUCCAGCCUGACAGGAUGGUACCAGGUCCCAGCAUCUCCCCAGGAACUGAUUCCACCUGCGGGUGGCCAGGGACAGGACCUUGCAGGUCAGGCAGGAGUGGGUCUACUGUUUCUGCUUCCCAGGCAGACUUGUGUGGAGCAAGACUGUUUAUAGACAACGCCUUGCUGUAGCCAGAGGUGGUGGCUUAGCAGCAGCAGGAACGCCCUCCCUCAUUGCUUCACAAGCUCUCAGUUUCAGCGAACAAUGCGCUGGAGUCGACUGCACAGCUCAGCUUUGGUGAAUGCUGUUCUGGGAUUGACUGCACAGCUCGACUCCUGUGAACAGUGCUCUGGGGUCAAUUGCACAGUUCAGCUUUGGUAAAGCCUGCUUUGGGAUGGACUGCACAGCUCAGUUUCGGCAAACAAUGCUCUGGGGUCAACUGCACAGCUCAGCUUUGGUGAACAGGGCCCUGGGGUUGACUGCACAGCUCAGCUUUGGUGAACAGUGCUCCCGUGGACCCUAAAUAUCCUGAUUCUUAUCGAGGAUGUGUAGCCGUGUGACUUGGACAGGGCUCCAGACCUCAACUCUCUCCCUCUCUGCUCCUUUCAAAUAAACAGCAUGGAAUUCUGCGCUCAGGAUGAUAGGAUGGGACAGGCUUAUUAUGUCAACUAAAAGAAGGUUCGAGGGUUGAGGCCACAGCUGCCUGGCUUCUCCAGGACUCACCCUAAGACAAACACAAGAGUGGGCUCUCAUUUUCCCUUCUUGUGUCGAAUCAGAAGGGGGCUACCACAUCAUCACCCUAACUCCGAGAAACGAGUUACACAGAGACAACUCUUCCUGCAGGCCUUCCUUCCCAAGAAGGGGGAAGCACAGAAGAGAGAGUGGAAAAAAAAGGCAGGAAGGGGGCUCGGCAGCCAGCAGCCCUGGCGCUCGACACUGGAGGCUUAACAUCAAAUGCAGGGAGAAAUCCAUUUCCACGGCACUAUUGGCCAUCUCGGACGCCUCGUUUCAAAGAGAAAGAUUUGAAUUCAGAGACGGUGCACUCCCUUUGUUCUCUUGCCCUGCAGCCUUUGGUGCCAGUGUGGACGGUACCACAGGGAGAGGGUGAGAUCAAACCCCCUCUCCUCUCCGUUACCUGCCCCCAGAGCUGGCCCUUGGCAUGCCUAAUGAAAUCAGCUUGACUAUAGGUUGACAAUGCCCUGUCAAUUAUAAUCAUUUAUCUUGGCAAGCAGAGUAUCUGAACACUUGAAAGAGCAGGGGUUCAGCAGACCCAGCAAAACCAGAAUAAAAUUAUACUGCAUGCUAA